Molecule: ribosomal RNA, 465 nt
Filed under: uncultured bacterium
Lineage: Bacteria
Description: bacterial SSU rRNA
Rfam family: Bacterial small subunit ribosomal RNA
Source: RNAcentral
GGGCCCGCACAAGCGGAGGAACAUGUGGUUUAAUUCGAUGGUACGCGAGGAACCUUACCUGGGCUUAAAUGUAGAGUGCAUUUCACCGAAAGGUGGAUUUUCUUCGGAACUCUCUGCAAGGUGCUGCAUGGUUGUCGUCAGCUCGUGCCGUGAGGUGUCGGGUUAAGUCCCAUAACGAGCGCAACCCUUAUCGUUAGUUGCCAGCGGGUAAUGCCGGGAACUCUAACGAAACUGCCGGUGUAAACCGUGAGGAAGGUGGGGAUGACGUCAAAUCAGCACGGCCCUUAUGUCCAGGGCUACACACGUGUUACAAUGGCCGGUACAGAGGGCAGCUACCUGGAGACAGGAUGCGAAUCUCCAAAACCGGUCUCAGUUCGGAUCGAAGUCUGCAACUCGACUUCGUGAAGCUGGAUUCGCUAGUAAUCGCGCAUCAGCCAUGGCGCGGUGAAUACGUUCCCGGGCCUU